UGUUGUCCGACUCUGUUGCCUCGGGGGCGACCCGGCGCUUCGGCGCCAGGGGGUCCCCGCUGGUCCACACAACUCUGCAUCUUUGCGUCUGAGUAAACAUUAAAUGAAACAAAACUUUCAACAACGGAUCUCUUGGUUCUGGCAUCGAUGAAGAACGCAGCGAAAUGCGAUAAGUAAUGUGAAUUGCAGAAUUCAGUGAAUCAUCGAAUCUUUGAACGCACAUUGCGCCCCCUGGCAUUCCGGGGGGCAUGCCUGUUCGAGCGUCAUUACACCACUCAAGCCUGGCUUGGUAUUGGAGGUCGCGGUCCGCCGCGCCUCCUAAUGUCGCCGGCCGAGUCGUCUGUCUCCGAGCGUUGUGAAUCUUCAAUUCGCUUUCGAGUACAGGCGGCGCGCGCCGUUAAACCUCUUUUUCAGGUUGACCUCGGAUCAGGUAGGGAUACCCGCUGAACUUAAGCAUAUAU
This 461-nucleotide ribosomal RNA is filed under the name Pseudocercosporella fraxini. RNAcentral describes it as "eukaryotic LSU rRNA". The stretch from base 113 to 266 matches the Rfam family "5.8S ribosomal RNA". The record is from RNAcentral. Lineage: Eukaryota; Fungi; Ascomycota; Dothideomycetes; Mycosphaerellales; Mycosphaerellaceae.